This is a long non-coding RNA of Myotis lucifugus (little brown bat), 440 nucleotides long. RefSeq lists it as uncharacterized. The record is from RefSeq and is a predicted model, not a curated record. The transcript is spliced from 3 exons. NCBI's taxonomy places the organism in Eukaryota, Metazoa, Chordata, Mammalia, Chiroptera, Vespertilionidae.
CUUGCCAAGCACAUGGCCAAGACUCCAAUAUAGCUAGCCACAGCGCUGCUUGACACUGCCACUGUCCAAAGAGAACGUGUGGACAGAACUGCUUUCAGACUACUUCUGUAAUUGUUUUUCCACAACAAGAAACAGAAACACAAAGCCCAUCUUCAACAAAACUGGGAAAUAUCUGCACCCGGAACCCCACAACGUAGGAAGACAAAGAGCAGGUGGAAAAAUAGCAGCUAAAUUGGCAGAGCAGAGGAAGCCAAAUUUUGUUGGAGAACACCCUUCAAGAAGCAAGACAGCCCGGCCGGUGUGGCUCAGUGUCUGAGCAUCGACCUAUGACCCAGGAGGUCAAGGUUCGAUUCCCAUCAGGGCACCUGCCCCGGUUGCAGGCUAACCCCAUGUCCAGCAUGUGGGAAGAUGAUUCUCUCUCAUCGCUGAUUUCUCUCUCU